This 438-nucleotide ribosomal RNA is filed under the name uncultured bacterium. Its description in RNAcentral is "partial 16S ribosomal RNA". It matches the Rfam family "Bacterial small subunit ribosomal RNA", at positions 355 to 781 of the family's 1533-position model. The record is from RNAcentral.
UGGGGAAUAUUGCACAAUGGGCGCAAGCCUGAUGCAGCCAUGCCGCGUGUGUGAAGAAGGCCUCGGUUGUAAAGCAACUUUCAGCGAGGAGGAAGGUGGGUGAACUUAAUACGUUCAUCAAUUGACGUUACUCGCAGAAGAAGCACCGGCUAACUCCGUGCCAGCAGCCGCGGUAAUACGGAGGGUGCAAGCGUUAAUCGGAAUUACUGGGCGUAAAGCGCACGCAGGCGGUUUGUUAAGUCAGAUGUGAAAUCCCCCGGGCUCAACCUGGGAACUGCAUUUGAAACUGGCAAGCUAGAGUCUCGUAGAGGGGGGUAGAAUUCCAGGUGUAGCGGUGAAAUGCGUAGAGAUCUGGAGGAAUACCGGUGGCGAAGGCCGGCCCCCCAUGGACGAAGACUGACGCUCAGGUGCGAAAGCGUGGGGAGCAAACAGGAUUAG